This 2287-nucleotide long non-coding RNA is filed under the name Malus domestica (apple). RNAcentral's name for it is "long non-coding RNA (MDOM_LNC019937)". Lineage: Eukaryota; Viridiplantae; Streptophyta; Magnoliopsida; Rosales; Rosaceae. The record is from RNAcentral.
CCCGGCCUAGAACGAUACCCUACUUACAUCUAUACUACAAUUGUCAAAAAGAGGGUUUAAUUUUGUGUGUUAAGUUAUUUUUCACAUCAGUCUCCCAUACCCUACUAAGAGUUUCCUCCAAAACUCUUGAAUUCCAAUGAGGGAUAUGGAAUUUGCCAAAAAUAGUGGGUGGUGCUAUUUUGAUUUAAAGACCUGGAUCAAAUGGCUUAAAAUCAAUCAAUUUAUAUUCGUUAUGUAUUUGUUUACCAAUAUAUUUGCAAACGCUAUCUAAAACUUGACAAAGAAAAGCCGAAUGCUUUAGUUUCCGACUUGGUACAACAAUCCCAAAGAUUGUCUUAAAUGGAUUGUAUAUGUACCUAAGUAGUCUCAUCCUCACAAUCUUCCUAUUGAUAAUGUACCAUUGGAAUAACAUGUUAGAUAAGUCUAUCAUAAAGAGGACAACACUUUUAAAGUCAUAAUUCUUCAAUUACAAAUCGUUGUAUGAAGAAAUAAGAGUUGCUUUGAACAACCCUUAACUACGCAAACAUUAGUGCUUGUUUCUUUGUUACAUGAACAAGGAACCUAAGAAGAAAGCACAAAGGCAUGGACACUUUAUGUGCCAUGAUUCUUCACUUACAAAUUGUUGUAUGAAGAAAUGAGAGUUGCCUUGAACAACUCUUGAAAGUUUGUAAUUAUGUUUAGAACAUAAUGGUUGGUUGACAAAAAUAGUCCAUCAACAUGGACUUAUGAUGAUUUUGAAUCAUUGAGUGUUGAAGUGUUAAACCACUUCUAGAAACGGAAACUAUGCAAGGACUUCACCUUUGUGUCCCUAUCCAAAUGGUUCACUAAGUUUAUUGUAAACUAUAUAGUGAACAAUAACCACACGCUCUCCAAAUCGUUUGAUGUGUAUAACACAAUUGAAAUAAGUUUCAAGAGAGACAGUGGGAGUUUAGGGACCAUGACUAUUGUAGACAAAGGAGAAGUCAAAUGAAGAAAGCGAAAUAACUCCAAGGGAACAAACUUUCUUUAUAAAAGGAUGGACAAUGGAAGGGGUAUUUGCAAAAAAUGUCUUGCAAGUGUCAAGAACACACCUUUCGAAGGUGUUGUAAAUUGUUCUUGAAUAGUUCAAAACAGUUGGUUCUUCUACCUGAAUGCUUGAUUCCGUAUUAGUAACUAUGUUUUACAAUCGUUGUAAAAGUGUGACUAAUAAGAAGUAGAAGAUAUAUGAGAGAAGAAAAAGGUGCUUCACAUUCGGAACGUGAAUAAAAUAAAGAUCUUUGUGAAAGCAGAUAGUACUUACUUCCUCAUAUGAACUACCAAAGAAAUUGGAAAAACCAAAGAUUGUCUUUACAUUCCAAUUUUAAGGAACUUAAUUCCGUCACUAUAGUAGAGAUGGAUGAAUGUUUUGUUUGACAAAACAUUGUUCUUUAUUAGUCAAUGAUUGGAUUAUAGUAAUCUAAUUGAUUGUCUCUAUAGUAGAGAUGAUAUGAUAGUGUUAACUGUUUAGAAUAUAACGAUGCUUAAAAUCCAAAAGGUUGCAAGGUAGUGACUAAUCCCAACUAAAGUUGUGAUACCUCUAAAACAUAAAUUACGAGUUGGUCAUAGAUGGAUGCUUUAGAUCGUUAGAUCCGAAUCCAAUACUUUCUUAUUAAAAUUGUAUGGAGGCGAAAUGUUCGAAUCUUUAUUCUUUUGGAAAGAAGAAAGAAUCACAAAGUUGUUGAGGUUAAUUCACUCAGAUGUUAGUGGCACUUGUCCACAACAUAAUACUACUCAUGUUGUAUGACAUUCACCAAAGAUCACUCUCGGUUGGACUAUAGUUUAUUUUGAAUAAACACAAGUCCGAAUACUUUGCUAAAGGUUUCAAAGAAUUCAAAAAAUGUAAGUUGAUGAGUAAGACGUCUAAAGUAUUUGCCUCCUUAGAUUUGAUCUAAGGAAAGAUAACACUUUAGAACAGUUUCCUUGAAAAAUAUCAAGGAAAGCAGCAUCAAAAGAUAAUGGAUUUCUCCAUUAGGAGAAGAACGAACUUGAAUAAGAUUUAGUUCGUUGGAUGUUAUCAAUUACCCAUAUAUAGGAUAUAUGCUUCUAAGACAAUAUGAUUGUCAAUUAGAAGAUCUUCCAAAAAUUUUCAUGACUCCAUAAGAUGUAGUUGGAAAGAAAGACAAAUCUUAAUCAUGUUAAGAUUUGGGGUUGUGUGCUAAUAAGCAAUAUUUGUUUGAGAAUUAUCUUGUGGAUAUCCUUAAAUUAAUAUUUGGAUAUCACUUCUAUAAACCAACUAACAAAUGUUGUUUGUUGGGUAGUUCAUUGUAAU